This 376-nucleotide ribosomal RNA is filed under the name uncultured bacterium. RNAcentral's name for it is "bacterial SSU rRNA". It matches the Rfam family "Bacterial small subunit ribosomal RNA", at positions 524 to 898 of the family's 1533-position model. The record is from RNAcentral.
UACAGAGGGUGCGAGCGUUGUCCGGAAUCACUGGGCGUAAAGGGCGUGUAGGCGGCUGGAUAAGCCGCGUGUGAAAUCCCGGGGCUCAACCCCGGAACGGCACGCGGGACUGUUCGGCUAGAGAAUGGUAGAGGCAAGUGGAAUUCCUGGUGUAGCGGUGGAAUGCGUAGAGAUCAGGAAGAACACCGGUGGCGAAGGCGGCUUGCUGGGCCAUUUCUGACGCUGAGGCGCGAAAGCGUGGGGAGCAAACAGGAUUAGAUACCCUGGUAGUCCACGCUGUAAACGAUGGGUGCUAGGCGUCGGGGGGAGCGACCCUCCCGGUGCCGUCGCUAACGCAAUAAGCACCCCGCCUGGGGAGUACGGCCGCAAGGUUGAA